GCAGUCGUGGCCGAGUGGUUAAGGAGAUGGACUUGAAAUCCAUUGGGGGCUCCCCGCAUAGGUUCGAAUCCUGUCGGCUUGCG
RNAcentral lists this transfer RNA (83 nucleotides) under Dermacentor andersoni. RNAcentral describes it as "transfer RNA serine (anticodon UGA)". It matches the Rfam family "tRNA". From Rfam's summary of the family: Transfer RNA (tRNA) molecules are approximately 80 nucleotides in length. Their secondary structure includes four short double-helical elements and three loops (D, anti-codon, and T loops). Further hydrogen bonds mediate the characteristic L-shaped molecular structure. tRNAs have two regions of fundamental functional importance: the anti-codon, which is responsible for specific mRNA codon recognition, and the 3' end, to which the tRNAs corresponding amino acid is attached (by aminoacyl-tRNA synthetases). tRNAs cope with the degeneracy of the genetic code in two manners: having more than one tRNA (with a specific anti-codon) for a particular amino acid; and 'wobble' base-pairing, i.e. permitting non-standard base-pairing at the 3rd anti-codon position. The record is from RNAcentral. Lineage: Eukaryota; Metazoa; Arthropoda; Arachnida; Ixodida; Ixodidae.